Molecule: transfer RNA, 71 nt
Filed under: Cyclospermum leptophyllum
Lineage: Eukaryota; Viridiplantae; Streptophyta; Magnoliopsida; Apiales; Apiaceae
Description: tRNA-Glu
Source: RNAcentral
UCUUUUUUAUUCUUAUUCCUCCGUAUAGGGUAUUUCUGAAGGACAGGGGGGGGUUAUACCAUCUCGGGGUA